CUUUGGACCAGUCGGAGGAAGCUUUCUUGGGGCAAGGAUCUGACAGCUGAGUUCCCCAGCGGCUAUAUGGAAGGCCAAUCAAAGAUAAGAGGAAGGGACAUUCCUCAGAGACAGUCUUCUUGCUGCAGCAGAAAAGCUUUUGCAGAACCUUCAUACGUACCUGCGCACCACUGGAGCUGCUGACAGUGCCGAGAUAAAAACGUUCCAAGAUGGUGUUCCCCACCCAGUGAAAAUUUCAAUCAAGACAGAAUUCUGUAUUUCCCACUUGCCAUCUGUGGAGUGGUGCCUGCUGAGAUAGUCUGCCAGAGUAUUCUGCAUCCCUGUUGUGUGCAAAGUGGGCAAGAUGGCCACCAAAGAUUUGGAGAGCAUUAUGGCAUUGCAUCAAAACUGAAAUUCUGGCAAGGAGCAUAUGUUUACAACCAACUAAACAGAGAAAGAAGAGCGCACAAGAAAUACCACAAGGUGGUCAGUCAGUGGCAAGCUGGUUCACUGUAUGGGAUCACCAUUUACCUUUAUGUCUUGCAUUCAUAUGGCAGAACACAGACCUACGCAUAAAUCCAUACCCAGCCAAAUCCUGCAUCCUACACCUGCCUGAGAUGAGAGACCCAUAGAAUUGACAUAAAUGAUCUAUUCUCUGAACUUUAGCAAUUCAGGGGGAAUUCAUGAAUACAAUCUUUCAAAAUGGAUGUCCAUCAACCAGCAAUACCAAUAAGGGAAUAUCUACAAAGCACAAAUUUACUGCAAUGUACAGAGACCACAAAGCACAUAUCUCCAAUGGCACUAAGUGGCCAUAAACUGGUUUUCCUCAGUAGAAGAUUCUUCCACUGGAGGGGCAGGGGAUGUAGUGCCAGCUGGCAAUGAAUCUGCUACUGUACCAUUCCUCUGCAUCCUCGCUGCACUCUGGUAAUCCCAAGGUGAUAAAAGGAUCCUUAGGGCCACAGCCAUUUAGUGUAGAUUAGAACAGGCCUGUGACUGUUUUAAACUACGCCAGGGACAGCACAGAACCAUACCCAGAAUCAGGGAGCUACAACCAACUCCUUUGUGGCCUUUUCCUCCAGUUGUGUCGAGUGUAUACUAUAUGCAGAAGAGCAUUUGGGCCUCUGUGUCUAUCAGACAAUUCAAACAGAAUUUUAACAGAGGUCUUAUACACAGUUAUCACUGAGCAACAAUAGAAAUUCCAUGAUAAAGCACUAAAGACAAUGGAAAAUAAAUGAAAAAUACAUUUAUGCUUAAUUUUAACACAAAUGCACAUGUGGUUUCAAUCAGACCUGCGAUCCCUCCAAGUUGAAUGUCUGAGCAUUGUGACACAGCAACAUGACAUCUUUCUCCAAGUCACCAAGGCUACGGUACUUAUGGUUACGAAUUCUUUCCUGUUGUGUUUUUUAAAAAGGGGAAGAAAAAGAGACAAACAAAAGACAGGACAAUUGGUUAACACUGUGCUGUAAUCUUGAAUACAAAUAUGAAUGCAUUACUAUUAGAAAUCCCUACUAGAAAUGUCAUAACUAUGUGGAAUGACAGAUAUUGCCUGAUUUUAUUUAUUUAUUUUUAGAAAGAAAUGUCUAAAACAGGGCACAGUUCUAAGUGUAAGGGCCAAAAGCAAAGUAAAGUUAUUCAACUGCUGUGUGGAGCUGAAGGAACAAAAGCAGCAGAGACUCUGCACUGCUUUGUGUAACAAAAGAGAUUAAUACCAGAUGGGAGCUGAAUGAAGACUUCACUUAGCUGCCGUCCUGAACUGUUGA
Molecule: long non-coding RNA, 1739 nt
Organism: Mauremys reevesii (Reeves's turtle)
Lineage: Eukaryota; Metazoa; Chordata; Testudines; Geoemydidae
Exons: 7
Source: RefSeq, a predicted model, not a curated record